GGCGUAAAGCGUGCGUAGGCGGCUUUUUAAGUCGGAUGUGAAAUCCCUGAGCUUAACUUAGGAAUUGCAUUCGAUACUGGAAAGCUAGAGUAUGGGAGAGGAUGGUAGAAUUCCAGGUGUAGCGGUGAAAUGCGUAGAGAUCUGGAGGAAUACCGAUGGCGAAGGCAGCCAUCUGGCCUAAUACUGACGCUGAGGUACGAAAGCAUGGGGAGCAAACAGGAUUAGAUACCCUGGUAGUCCAUGCCGUAAACGAUGUCUACUAGCCGUUGGGGCCUUUGAGGCUUUAGUGGCGCAGCUAACGCGAUAAGUAGACCGCCUGGGGAGUACGGUCGCAAGACUAAAACUCAAAUGAAUUGACGGGGGCCCGCACAAGCGGUGGAGCAUGUGGUUUAAUUCGAUGCAACGCGAAGAACCUUACCUGGCCUUGACAUACUAAGAACUUUCCAGAGAUGGAUUGGUGCCUUCGGGAACUUAGAUACAGGUGCUGCAUGGCUGUCGUCAGCUCGUGUCGUGAGAUGUUGGGUUAAGUCCCGCAACGAGCGCAACCCUUUUCCUUAUUUGCCAGCGGGUAAUGCCGGGAACUUUAAGGAUACUGCCAGUGACAAACUGGAGGAAGGCGGGGACGACGUCAAGUCAUCAUGGCCCUUACGGCCAGGGCUACACACGUGCUACAAUGGUCGGUACAAAGGGUUGCUACCUCGCGAGAGGAUGCUAAUCUCAAAAAGCCGAUCGUAGUCCGGAUCGCAGUCUGCAACUCGACUGCGUGAAGUCGGAAUCGCUAGUAAUCGCGGAUCAGAAUGCCGC
Molecule: ribosomal RNA, 804 nt
Filed under: uncultured bacterium
Lineage: Bacteria
Description: bacterial SSU rRNA
Rfam family: Bacterial small subunit ribosomal RNA
Source: RNAcentral